RNAcentral lists this transfer RNA (73 nucleotides) under Canis lupus familiaris (dog). It matches the Rfam family "tRNA". From Rfam's summary of the family: Transfer RNA (tRNA) molecules are approximately 80 nucleotides in length. Their secondary structure includes four short double-helical elements and three loops (D, anti-codon, and T loops). Lineage: Eukaryota; Metazoa; Chordata; Mammalia; Carnivora; Canidae. RNAcentral also lists the same sequence under 1 other name. The record is from Rfam by way of RNAcentral.
GCCUAGCUGGCUCAGUCAGUAAAGCAUGUGACUCUUGACCUCAGGGCUGUGAGUUCAAGCCCCACAUUGGGCA